AUACGGAGGAUCCGAGCGUUAUCCGGAUUUAUUGGGUUUAAAGGGUGCGCAGGCGGCCGUGCAAGUCAGCGGUGAAAGCCCGGGGCUCAACCCCGGAAGUGCCGUUGAUACUGCAUGGCUGGAAUGCGGUCGAGGCGGGCGGAACGGGGCGUGUAGCGGUGAAAUGCGUAGAUAUGCCACAGAACGCCGAUAGCGGAGGCAGCUCGCCAGGCCUGCAUUGACGCUCGGGCACGAAAGCGUGGGGAUCGAACAGGAUUAGAUACCCUGGUAGUCCACGCCGUAAACGAUGGGCGCUCGUCGUCGGCGGCAGACAGUCGGCGGCCAAGCGAAAGCGAUAAGCGCCCCACCUGGGGAGUACGGUCGCAAGGCUGAAACUCAAAUGAAUUGACGGGG
This 393-nucleotide ribosomal RNA is filed under the name uncultured bacterium. RNAcentral describes it as "partial 16S ribosomal RNA". It matches the Rfam family "Bacterial small subunit ribosomal RNA", at positions 523 to 918 of the family's 1533-position model. The record is from RNAcentral.